This 1194-nucleotide long non-coding RNA is filed under the name Salmo salar (Atlantic salmon). Its description in RNAcentral is "lncRNA (ENSSSAG00000119992.1)". Lineage: Eukaryota; Metazoa; Chordata; Actinopteri; Salmoniformes; Salmonidae. The record is from RNAcentral.
AGACACACCAGUGGGAGUAAGUGGGAGUCUGAUUAGUAUUUGUCAUUCACAAGGACGCCUUGAUCAGGAGAGAGAAGAUACACACAGGGAGGAAGGAAGAUGGCGGUUGGUGGGUGGCUGGAGCAAAGCAUUGUCUAGGAAACAAUAUCUUCUGAUUCAUGUCUUUUAGAAAAAUCCAGAUGGAUUGUUUUCCAAGCGGGGUGAUGUGAUGCGAGGUUAGCAAGAUCAACACACAAUGUCUGAUGACAGGCAGAGAUAGAUGGAGAGUGAAGCGAUUGUUUGAACACAGUGGUGGUGAUCUCAAGUGGUAGUGAGGGGUGAAGGGAGGGGGGUAGUGAUAGUCUCUAUGUGGGGAAGAAAAGAGGGGGAGGAGAGGGUGGCUGAUGGUCUCUUUAUGUGGGGAGAGGAGAGGGUGGCUGAUGGUCUCUUUAUGUGGGGAGAGGAGAGGGCGAUGGGUGGCUGAUGGUCUCUUUUUGUGGGGAGAGGAGUGGAGAGGAGAGGGUGGCUGAUGGUCUCUUUAUGUGGGGAGAGGAGAGGGUGGCUGAUGGUCUCUUUAUGUGGGGAGAGGAGAGGAGGGUGGCUGAUGGUCUCUUUAUGUGGGGAGAGGAGAGGGUGGCUGAUGGUCUCUUUAUGUGGGGAGAGGAGGAGAGAGGAGAGGGUGGCUGAUGGUCUCUUUAUGUGGGGAGAGGAGAGGAGAGGAGAGGAGGGUGGCUGAUGGUCUCUUUAUGUGGGGAGAGGAGAGGGUGGCUGAUGGUCUCUUUAUGUGGGGAGAGGAGAGGAGAGGGUGGCUGAUGGUCUCUUUAUGUGGGGAGAGGAGAGGGUGGCUGAUGGUCUUUUUAUGCGGAGGACGGGAGUCUGGAACUAAGAGAAUGUUGCUCAGUAGUCAUUCUCAUAUUCCUGUUCCUGUCCUUCUUGAGUUAGAACCAGACCAGAGGAGACAGACAGAGACACAGAGAAACACGUACCUUCCAUCAGUACAGAUACCAGACCACCAACAUGCUACCAUUCAAAAUACCACAUGGACCCACUAGUGGUUGUGCUAGUCAGUAUCGCUGACUCAGACUGCUGUGUUAUGGCAGCUGCUCAUCAGAGCUCUGAAAGCAGACAUGUACAGGCACAACAUAGUGCUGUAAUCUUUAUUUCUCUUUCUUAAUGUAAGAAAAUGUCAUAAAGAUGUAGAACAGUGAAAUGAGA